This 484-nucleotide ribosomal RNA is filed under the name uncultured bacterium. RNAcentral's name for it is "partial 16S ribosomal RNA". It matches the Rfam family "Bacterial small subunit ribosomal RNA", at positions 30 to 507 of the family's 1533-position model. The record is from RNAcentral.
AUUGAACGCUGGCGGCAGGCCUAACACAUGCAAGUCGAGCGGAUGAAGGGAGCUUGCUCCUGGAUUCAGCGGCGGACGGGUGGGUAAUGCCUAUGAAUCUGCCUGGUAUUGGGGGAUAACGUCCUGAAACGGGCGCUAAUACUGCAUACGUCCUGAGGUAGAAAGUGGGGGGUCUUCCGAUCUCACGCUAUGAGAUGAGCCUAGGUCGGAUUAGCUAGUUGGUGGGGUAAAGGCCUACCAAGGCGACGAUCCGUAACUGGUCUGAGAGGAUGAUCAGUCACACUGGAACUGAGACACGGUCCAGACUCCUACGGGAGGCAGCAGUGGGGAAUAUUGGACAAUGGGCGAAAGCCUGAUCCAGCCAUGCCGCGUGUGUGAAGAAGGUCUUCGGAUUGUAAAGCACUUUAAGUUGGGAGGAAGGGCAGUAAGUUAAUACCUUGCUGUUUUGACGUUACCAACAGAAUAAGCACCGGCUAACUUCGUG